UUCCUAUUCUAGGGUAGCUCAAAACAGCUGGAAAUUCUCCAAGGUUUUAGGGAAGCACUGCUUGAUGCUAUAAAUGAAUUCAAGAAUAGAAGAGACUGGGUAUGUUCAUCGACUCGUGCUUUAUACACUGUCAGUCGAUGAAAGCUAUUACUUGGCACUCCCCAUCAGCUGCUAGAAUCAACAACAGGACGGCCGCUGAAGCGGUGGGAGAUUGGUUCUUUGAUCGGAGGGAGGUGAAGGAAAUAGAUUGUGAAUAUCCCUGCAGCCCGACAUGCUACAAUGCGGUUCUUGAUGAGCCCUACAAGGAAGACUGACUGUUUUGAAGAGUUUUGGCGAUUUAUUAAAAUUCUCCAUGAAUUGAUUGAUAUCUGUUGGGUUGAAUGUGAUCAGAAUUCAGACUUACUUGAGACCUGUUAAAAUUCGAGAACAUCAAUAUAGAUACGACGAAUGGAUUAGUAUGAGGAGUAAUGGUA
Molecule: long non-coding RNA, 473 nt
Organism: Panicum virgatum (switchgrass)
Lineage: Eukaryota; Viridiplantae; Streptophyta; Magnoliopsida; Poales; Poaceae
Exons: 3
Source: RefSeq, a predicted model, not a curated record